This 497-nucleotide ribosomal RNA is filed under the name uncultured bacterium. Its description in RNAcentral is "partial 16S ribosomal RNA". It matches the Rfam family "Bacterial small subunit ribosomal RNA", at positions 28 to 507 of the family's 1533-position model. The record is from RNAcentral.
GAUGAACGCUGGCGGCGUGCCUAAUACAUGCAAGUCGAGCGAACAGACGAGGAGCUUGCUCCUCUGACGUUAGCGGCGGACGGGUGAGUAACACGUGGAUAACCUACCUAUAAGACUGGGAUAACUUCGGGAAACCGGGGCUAAUACCGGAUAAUAUAUUGAACCGCAUGGUUCAAUAGUGAAAGACGGUUUUGCUGUCACUUAUAGAUGGAUCCGCGCCGCAUUAGCUAGUUGGUAAGGUAACGGCUUACCAAGGCAACGAUGCGUAGCCGACCUGAGAAGGUGAUCGGCCACACUGGAACUGAGACACGGUCCAGACUCCUACGGGAGGCAGCAGUAGGGAAUCUUCCGCAAUGGGCGAAAGCCUGACGGAGCAACGCCGCGUGAGUGAUGAAGGUCUUCGGAUCGUAAAACUCUGUUAUUAGGGAAGAACAAAUGUGUAAGUAACUAUGCACGUCUUGACGGUACCUAAUCAGAAAGCCACGGCUAACUACGUG